GUUAAAGACCGCGUAGCCCCUCAGCUCCUAACGUAAAUCCAGUUUUGCCAUAAAACGAAGACCAUAGCAUAAAAGGGCAAAAAGCAGAGAAGCCUGGGCUGACAGAGACAUGCCUGAAAAAGGAUCUGCUAGGGCUGCCUCAACUCUUUACUGAGACAGAACUAGAAAAUUGCCCUUACAGAAGGCUUUUUAGCAAAGCUGAUGAUUCAGUGGCUCAAGGAAGGAUGGCCACCACACAGAGAGACUUUCCUAACUUCACAGACAUCUUGCAAACCUCUGACAAUGCCAACAAAAAGAAUAAUUGAAAAAAUUGCCAGAAGGAUGCGUUAAACAUUCUUGAUUGAGGAAUAGAUUAAGCUUUUUUUUUUUUUUAAUCUAAAUCUGAGCGUAUUUGUGUUCUGAGGACUUCAAGGCUACAAACACUGCCCCCAAAGUCAGACAAAACAGGUCAGAUUCUUCUCUCAGUUAUACUGUCAUACAGGACAUCUGUAUUGAAUUCAGUACAUUUACAGACAGAUGUAAACUGAGACAGAAUCUCCACCAUAGAAUAUUAAAAACCUAGAUUAAAUGUUCUUAGCAUAUUUUGAGUGCCUACGCAUAUUAGCAAAUAUAUUUAUUUAAUGUUUUCUUUUAAUAUCCAUUUCAAGUGUACCAUUUGGUACUUGGUUUAAUAAACUAAGUUUCAGUAAUUGAAAAGUACUCAUACCUCCCUAACAGGAAUAAUGCCUCUAGAAAAUCCUCAAAAAUAAUGUCUUCUUUUCUUGAGCCCUGUGGUGGUUUGGCCAGCAAUGAACUGUUUUUCUGGGAAGAAAAAAGAAUAGAGAGGAAGUAUAGCCUGAAUUUGUGCUGUAUAUUUGCUACUGUUUAAAUCUUUCACACAAAAGGUGAUUCAGAUUAGUAGCAGGCCUAAAAGGCAUCACAGUGGAGUACUGAGAGUCCGACCACACUAUACUCUCAGCACAAGAUGUUUUCUGUGCGUCAAAGUUAAAGGUGAUUUUUUAAGAAGUUUUCCUCCUGCUUCACCCCAUAUUCAGAUUAUUUGAAACACCCUAAGUAAAUAUUAGGGUGUAUUACCCUGUGUCUUCAGGAAAAUCUAAUGAGAGGAACCAUCAGAUAGUAAAUAAAAACAUUAUUUUUAUUUAUGUGCUGACGUGGAGUGCAGUUCAGUCCUGUUCUAGGGAUUUUACGUACACUUGGGGAAAAAGUCUUGUUUUCCUUUCUCAAUAGUUCAGGCUAACCGAAGUGAGAAAUCCCCAUUUCACAGAGAGGAAACAAAGGAGUUGCUGAAGAUACUUUUCACUGAAGCAGCGAUUAAGCCCAGACCAGUCCAUAUAUGAGGUAAAAGACCUCAACAACAGUCAUCUUCCAAAUAGAAAAAAUCAGUGUGCUGCCACAGAACACUUCCUGCAUAGUGACAUUGAGUGUGAACAGAUAUCUCCUUUGAAGAUAAAUAUGUGAACUUGCUGCUUAUUUUCUUAAUGAUGGCAAUAGGGACUUCCUCUGUAGAAAUUGCAGGAUGUGUCAGGUAGAAGAUAUAUAUGAUUUAGUCUACUGCACCUUUGCCUAUGUAUUUGCUUUCUGCAUACCAAUUUAUCUCUCUCAGAGAGUAUUCCAGAUUUGCAAGAGAUUAACAUAGUUCUCCUGUACUGCUUUUAUUUAAUGUGCAAUAUAGACAAGUGUUGCCUCUUCUGGGCCCAAAUAUGGAAUUCCCCCAGAACUACCCCAGCCAAAACCAGCACACCCAGGAUGAACAAAAUUCAAAUGAAAGUCAAUAAACAUAAUGAUUUCAUCACUCUAAUUUCCUGAGUCCUAGGAAUGGCCUACAUUUUCUGAAAGGUCACUUAGAUUUGAGGUUUCAGGGUCGAGUUCUCUUCAGUGCUUGCUACCUAGUGGAAUUUCCAACCUAGUUUUAGGUUCCCAGGUGAGUGAAGAGAAUCCAACACCUGAAAAGCUAGUGGUCUGGAAACGGUUUUGGUUUUAACCAUCAUUUGAAUACUGUGCUUGCCUCACUCUCAGAGUGGGGAAAACAAUUCAUCAAAACUUUUAAUUAUCUCUUCCAUAUGUAGGUGAAUAAGAAACGUAAAAGUAUGCGCAGUGACAAAAGUUACAUUGUAUGCCUGGAAUUCUACUCUAAUGUGUACUUUUAUUUGCUCACAAUUCUAAACAAAUCAGUGGAAAAGAUUAUUUUCUAUAUUAUAAGUAAACAUACA
Molecule: long non-coding RNA, 2210 nt
Organism: Aquila chrysaetos chrysaetos
Lineage: Eukaryota; Metazoa; Chordata; Aves; Accipitriformes; Accipitridae
Exons: 3
Source: RefSeq, a predicted model, not a curated record